RNAcentral lists this transfer RNA (83 nucleotides) under Candidatus Omnitrophota bacterium. Its description in RNAcentral is "Candidatus Omnitrophica bacterium tRNA-Tyr". It matches the Rfam family "tRNA". Rfam says of the family: Transfer RNA (tRNA) molecules are approximately 80 nucleotides in length. Their secondary structure includes four short double-helical elements and three loops (D, anti-codon, and T loops). Lineage: Bacteria; Pseudomonadati; Candidatus Omnitrophota. RNAcentral also lists the same sequence under 1 other name. The record is from RNAcentral.
GGGCAGGUACCCAAGCGGACAACGGGGGCAGACUGUAAAUCUGCUGGCAUAUGCCUUCGGAGGUUCGAAUCCUCCCCUGCCCA